AUGGCGGGAAUGACGGGGAGGGGGGUCCCAAUCCCAGCCCAGGGGUUCCAAAUCCCAGUCUGUGGGUCCCAAUCCCAACCCAGGGGUCCCAAUCCCAACCCAGGGGUCCCAAUCCCAGUCAAUGGGUCCCAAUCCCAGUCUGUGGGUUCCAAAUCCCAGUCUAUGGGUUCCAAUCCCAGCCCAGGGGUUCCAAAUCCCAGUCUAUGGGUUCCAAUCCCAGUCUAUGGGUUCCAAUCCCAGUCAAUGGGUUCCAAACCCAGUCUAUGGGUUCCAAAUCCCAGUCUAGGGGCCCCAAUCCCAGUCCAGGGGUCCCAAUCCCAGUCUAGGGGUCCCAAUCCCAGUCCAGGAGUCCCAAUCCCAGUCUAUCAGUCCCAAUCCCAGUCCAGGGGUCCCAAUCCCAGUCUAUGGGUUCCAAUCCCAGUACCCCAUACCCAUUCCCAUUAUCCCAUACCCCAAACCCCAUUACCUGUAGGGUUUCCAGGGUUGAUGAUGCACAGUGCCCGAGGACAGCAGUGUUUCCCAGUACCCCAUACCCAUUCCCAUUAUCCCAUACCCAUUCCCAUACCCCAAACCCCAUUACCUGUGGGAUUCCCGGGGUUGAUGAUGCACAGUGCCCGAGGACAGCAGUGUUUCCCAGUACCCCAUACCCAUUCCCAGUACCCCAUACCCAUUCCCAGUACCCCAUACCCAUUCCCAUACCCCAAACCCCAUUACCUGUGGGGUUUCCGGGGUUGAUGAUGCACAGUGCCCGUGGACAGCAGUGUUUCCCAGUACCCCAUACCCAUUCCCAUUAUCCCAUACCCAUUCCCAGUACCCCAUACCCAUUCCCAUACCCCAUACCCCAUUACCUGUAGGGUUUCCCGGGUUGAUGAUGCACAGUGCCCGAGGACAGCAGUGUUUCCCAGUACCCCGUACCCAUUCCCAGUACCCCAUACCCAUUCCCAUUAUCCCAUACCCCAUUACCUGUAGGGUUUCCGGGGUUGAUGAUGCACAGUGCCCGAGGACAGCAGUGUUUCCCAGUACCCCAUACCCAUUCCCAUUAUCCCAUACCCAUUCCCAUUAUCCCAUACCCCAUUCCCAGUACCCCAUACCCAUUCCCAGUACCCCAUACCCAUUCCCAGUACCCCAUACCCAUUCCCAGUACCCCAUACCCAUUCCCAUACCCAUUAUCCCAUUACCUGUGGGAUUUCCGGGGUUGAUGAUGCACAGUGCCCAUGGACAGCAGUGUUUCCCAGUACCCCGUACCCAUUCCCAUUAUCCCAUACCCCAAACCCCAUUACCUGUGGGGUUUCCCGGGUUGAUGAUGCACAGUGCCCGAGGACAGCAGUGUUUCCCAGUACCCCAUACCCAUUCCCAUUAUCCCAUACCCCAUUACCUGUAGGGUUUCCGGGG
RNAcentral lists this long non-coding RNA (1392 nucleotides) under Manacus vitellinus (golden-collared manakin). RNAcentral's name for it is "lncRNA (ENSMVIG00005015854.1)". Lineage: Eukaryota; Metazoa; Chordata; Aves; Passeriformes; Pipridae. The record is from RNAcentral.